AGGACGAACGCUGGCGGCGUGCUUAACACAUGCAAGUCGAGCGAGGCCCUUCCUUCGGGAAGGUGACCUAGUGGCGAACGGGUGAGUAACACGUGGGCAACCUACCUCAGCUCUGGGAUAACACCGGGAAAACCGGUGCUAAUACCGGAUAUGUACCUAGGAACGACAUCGUUUCUUGGUAGGAAAGUUUUUCGGCUGAGGAUGGGCCCGCGGCCUAUCAGCUUGUUGGUGGGUAAUGGCCCACCAAGGCGACGACGGGUA
This 261-nucleotide ribosomal RNA is filed under the name uncultured bacterium. RNAcentral's name for it is "partial small subunit ribosomal RNA". It matches the Rfam family "Bacterial small subunit ribosomal RNA", at positions 26 to 285 of the family's 1533-position model. The record is from RNAcentral.